RNAcentral lists this ribosomal RNA (276 nucleotides) under uncultured bacterium. Its description in RNAcentral is "partial 16S ribosomal RNA". It matches the Rfam family "Bacterial small subunit ribosomal RNA", at positions 333 to 606 of the family's 1533-position model. The record is from RNAcentral.
AGCGGCCUACGGGGGGCAGCAGUGAGGAAUAUUGGUCAAUGGUCGGGAGACUGAACCAGCCAAGCCGCGUGAGGGAGGAAGGUACAGAGUAUCGUAAACCUCUUUUGUCAGGGAACAAAGGCGGGGACGUGUCCCCGGAUGAGUGUACCUGAAGAAAAAGCAUCGGCUAACUACGUGCCAGCAGCCGCGGUAAUACGUAGGUGGCAAGCGUUGUCCGGAUUUAUUGGGCGUAAAGCGAGUGCAGGCGGUUCAAUAAUGCUGAUGUGAAAGCCUUCG